GGAUGUGAGGGCGAUCUGGCUGCGACAUCUGUCACCCCAUUGAUCGCCAGGGUUGAUUCGGCUGAUCUGGCUGGCUAGGCGGGUGUCCCCUUCCUCCCUCACCGCUCCAUGUGCCUCCCGAAGCUGCGCGCUCGGUCGAAGAGGACGACCUUCCCCGAUAGAGGAGAGGACCGGUCUUCGGUCAAGGGUAUACGAGUAGCUGCGCUCCCCUGCUAGAACCUCCAAACAAGCUCUCAAGAAUGGUUUUAUUUUAAUGUCCAUGAAAUUAGAUCUAGCUACACUUCUAUGCAGCAUGUGUUUGCUGUGU
Molecule: unclassified non-coding RNA, 307 nt
Organism: Mustela putorius furo (domestic ferret)
Lineage: Eukaryota; Metazoa; Chordata; Mammalia; Carnivora; Mustelidae
Gene: 7SK
Rfam family: 7SK RNA
About the family: 7SK was discovered as an abundant small nuclear RNA in the mid-70s but a possible function has only recently been suggested. Two independent studies have found that 7SK RNA binds the CDK9/cyclin T complex (known as elongation factor P-TEFb).
Source: Ensembl